AUUGAACGCUGGCGGCAUGCUUUACACAUGCAAGUCGAACGGCAGCGCGGUCUUCGGCCUGGCUGCGAGUGGCGAAAGGGUGAGUAAUGCAUGUGAACGUGCCCAGUAGUGGGUGAUAGCCAGGCGAAAACCGGAUUAAUACCGCAUACGACCUGCUGGUGCAAGCGGGGGACCGAAAGGCCUCUCGCUAUUGGAGCGGCUGAUGCCGGAUUAGCUAGUUGGUGGGGUAAAGACUUACCAAGGCGACCAUCGGUAGCUGGUCUGAGAGGACGACCGGCCGCAUGGGGACUGAGCCACGGCCACGACUCCUACGGGAGGCAGCAGUGUGGAACUGUGGACAAUGGGGGCAACCCUUAUCCAGUGAUGCCGCGCGUGAGACGACGGCCUCGGGGUUGUAAAGAGGUUUUGUUCGGGAAGAACUCCUUUGGGCUAAUACCACGGGGGGAUGACGGUACCGGAAGAAGAAGCACCGGCUAACUACGUG
This 484-nucleotide ribosomal RNA is filed under the name uncultured bacterium. RNAcentral's name for it is "partial 16S ribosomal RNA". It matches the Rfam family "Bacterial small subunit ribosomal RNA", at positions 28 to 507 of the family's 1533-position model. The record is from RNAcentral.